GACGAACGCCGUCGGCGUGCUUAACACAUGCAAGUCGAACGGAAAGGCCCUGCUUUUGUGGGGUGCUCGAGUGGCGAACGGGUGAGUAACACGUGAGUAACCAGCCCUUGACUUUGGGAUAACUUCAGGAAACUGGGGCUAAUACCGGAUAGGAGCUCCUGCUGCAUGGUGGGGGUUGGAAAGUUUCGGCGGUUGGGGAUGGACUCGCGGCUUAUCAGCUUGUUGGUGGGGUAGUGGCUUACCAAGGCUUUGACGGGUAGCCGGCCUGAGAGGGUGACCGGCCACAUUGGGACUGAGAUACGGCCCAGACUCCUACGGGAGGCAGCAGUGGGGAAUAUUGCACAAUGGGCGGAAGCCUGAUGCAGCAACGCCGCGUGCGGGAUGACGGCCUUCGGGUUGUAAACCGCUUUCGCCUGUGACGAAGCGUGAGUGACGGUAAUGGGUAAAGAAGCACCGGCUAACUACGUGCCAGCAGCCGCGGUGAUACGUAGGGUGCGAGCGUUGUCCGGAUUUAUUGGGCGUAAAGGGCUCGUAGGUGGUUGAUCGCGUCGGAAGUGUAAUCUUGGGGCUUAACCCUGAGCGUGCUUUCGAUACGGGUUGACUUGAGGAAGGUAGGGGAGAAUGGAAUUCCUGGUGGAGCGGUGGAAUGCGCAGAUAUCAGGAGGAACACCAGUGGCGAAGGCGGUUCUCUGGGCCUUUCCUGACGCUGAGGAGCGAAAGCGUGGGGAGCGAACAGGCUUAGAUACCCUGGUAGUCCACGCUGUAAACGGUGGGUACUAGGUGUGGGGUCCGUUCCACGGGUUCCGUGCCGUAGCUAACGCUUUAAGUACCCCGCCUGGGGAGUACGGCCGCAAGGCUAAAACUCAAAGGAAUUGACGGGGCCCCGCACAAGCGGCGGAGCAUGCGGAUUAAUUCGAUGCAACGCGUAGAACCUUACCUGGGUUUGACAUGGAUCGGGAGUGCUCAGAGAUGGGUGUGCCUCUUUUGGGGUCGGUUCACAGGUGGUGCAUGGCUGUCGUCAGCUCGUGUCGUGAGAUGUUGGGUUAAGUCCCGCAACGAGCGCAACCCUUGUUCACUGUUGCCAGCACGUUAUGGUGGGGACUCAGUGGAGACCGCCGGGGUCAACUCGGAGGAAGGUGGGGAUGACGUCAAGUCAUCAUGCCCCUUAUGUCCAGGGCUUCACGCAUGCUACAAUGGCUGGUACAGAGAGUGGCGAGCCUGUGAGGGUGAGCGAAUCUCGGAAAGCCGGUCUCAGUUCGGAUUGGGGUCUGCAACUCGACCUCAUGAAGUCGGAGUCGCUAGUAAUCGCAGAUCAGCAACGCUGCGGUGAAUACGUUCCCGGGGCU
Molecule: ribosomal RNA, 1346 nt
Filed under: uncultured bacterium
Lineage: Bacteria
Description: bacterial SSU rRNA
Rfam family: Bacterial small subunit ribosomal RNA
Source: RNAcentral